RNAcentral lists this ribosomal RNA (790 nucleotides) under uncultured bacterium. RNAcentral describes it as "bacterial SSU rRNA". It matches the Rfam family "Bacterial small subunit ribosomal RNA", at positions 8 to 796 of the family's 1533-position model. The record is from RNAcentral.
AGAGUUUGAUCCUGGCUCAGAUUGAACGCUGGCGGCAUGCCUUACACAUGCAAGUCGAACGCGAAAGGGGGCAACCCCGAGUAGAGUGGCGAACGGGUGAGCAAUACAUCGGAACAUGUCCUGUAGCGGGGGACAACCUCGAGAAAUCGAGGCUAAUACCGCAUACGAUCUACGGAUGAAAGUGGGGGACCGCAAGGCCCCACACUAUAGGAGUGGCCGAUGCCGGAUUAGCUAGUUGGUGGGGUAACGGCCUACCAAGGCGACGAUCCGUAGCUGGUUUGAGAGAACGACCAGCCACACUGGGACUGAGACACGGCCCAGACUCCUACGGGAGGCAGCAGUGGGGAAUUUUGGACAAUGGGCGAAAGCCUGAUCCAGCCAUGCCGCGUGAGUGAAGAAGGCCUUCGGGUUGUAAAGCUCUUUCGGCCGGGACGAAAUGGCGCGGGGUAACAUCCCGCGUCGAUGACGGUACCGGAAGAAGAAGGACCGGCUAACUACGUGCCAGCAGCCGCGGUAAUACGUAGGGUCCAAGCGUUAAUCGGAAUUACUGGGCGUAAAGCGUGCGUAGGCGGUCUCGCAAGUCCGAUGUGAAAUCCCCGAGCUUAACUUGGGAACUGCGUUGGAAACUAUGAGGCUAGAGUGCGGCAGAGGGGGGUGGAAUUCCAGGUGUAGCAGUGAAAUGCGUAGAGAUCUGGAGGAACACCGAUGGCGAAGGCAGCCCCCUGGGCUAGCACUGACGCUGAUACACGAAAGCGUGGGGAGCAAACAGGAUUAGAUACCCUAGUAGUCC